RNAcentral lists this ribosomal RNA (539 nucleotides) under uncultured bacterium. RNAcentral's name for it is "bacterial SSU rRNA". It matches the Rfam family "Bacterial small subunit ribosomal RNA", at positions 356 to 896 of the family's 1533-position model. The record is from RNAcentral.
GAGGAAUAUUGGUCAAUGGGCGAGAGCCUGAACCAGCCAAGUAGCGUGCAGGAUGACGGCCCUAUGGGUUGUAAACUGCUUUUAUGUGGGGAUAAAGUGAGCUACGUGUAGUUUAUUGCAGGUACCACAUGAAUAAGGACCGGCUAAUUCCGUGCCAGCAGCCGCGGUAAUACGGAAGGUCCAGGCGUUAUCCGGAUUUAUUGGGUUUAAAGGGAGCGUAGGCUGGAGAUUAAGUGUGUUGUGAAAUGUAGACGCUCAACGUCUGAAUUGCAGCGCAUACUGGUUUCCUUGAGUACGCACAACGUUGGCGGAAUUCGUCGUGUAGCGGUGAAAUGCUUAGAUAUGACGAAGAACUCCGAUUGCGAAGGCAGCUGACGGGAGCGCAACUGACGCUUAAGCUCGAAGGUGCGGGUAUCGAACAGGAUUAGAUACCCUGGUAGUCCGCACAGUAAACGAUGGAUGCCCGCUGUUGGUACCUGGUAUCAGCGGCUAAGCGAAAGCAUUAAGCAUCCCACCUGGGGAGUACGCCGGCAACGGUG